AAGGCUUUAAGUUAAUUAAACUAAUAGCCUUCAAAGCUAUAAACAAAGAAAUUCUUUAAGCCUUA
Molecule: transfer RNA, 65 nt
Filed under: Parachauliodes continentalis
Lineage: Eukaryota; Metazoa; Arthropoda; Insecta; Megaloptera; Corydalidae
Description: tRNA-Trp
Source: RNAcentral